GCGUGCUUAAUACAUGCAAGUCGAACGGAGAGUUUAGCAAUAGAUUCUCAGUGGCGAACGGGUGAGUAACGCGUUGGUGACCUGCCCCAAAGUGUGGGAUAACAGUCCGAAAGGAUUGCUAAUACCGCAUGUGGUUUUCGGAAUUAGAAACCGAUUUCUAAAAGGAGAAAUCCGCUUCGGGAGGGGCCUGCGUCCCAUCAGCUAGUUGGUAGGGUAACGGCCUACCAAGGCGACGACGGGUAGGGGGCCUGAGAGGGUGACCCCCCACAAUGGCACUGAAAUACGGGCCAUACACCUACGGGUGGCAGCAGUAGGGAAUAUUGCACAAUGGGCGAAAGCCUGAUGCAGCAACGCCGCGUGCGCGAUGAAGGCCUUCGGGUCGUAAAGCGCUUUUCGGGGAGAUGAGGAAGGACAGUAUCCCCGGAAUAAGUCUCGGCUAACUACGUGCCAGCAGCCGCGGUAAAACGUAGGAGGCAAGCGUUAUCCGAAUUUACUGGGCGUAAAGCGCGUGCAGGCGGUUCGGUAAGUUGGAUGUGAAAUCUCCUGGCUCAACUGGGAGAGGUCGUUCAAUACUGUCGGACUAGAGGAUGGCAGAGGGAGGUGGAAUUCCCGGUGUAGUGGUGAAAUGCGUAGAUAUCGGGAGGAACACCAGUGGCGAAGGCGGCCUCCUGGACCAUUCCUGACGCUCAGACGCGAAAGCUAGGGGAGCGAACGGGAUUAGAAACCCCGGUAGUCCUAGCCGUAAACGAUGUGGACUUGGCGUCGGUGGGGUAAAACCUGUCGGUGCCGGAGCUAACGCGUUAAGUCCACCGCCUGGGGACUACGGCCGCAAGGUUAAAACUCAAAGGAAUUGACGGGUCCCCGCACAAGCAGCGGAGCGUGUGGUUUAAUUCGUUGCUACGCGAAGAACCUUACCCAGGUUUGACAUACAGGUAGUAGGGAUCUGAAAGGUGACCGACCCUUCGGGGAGCCUGUACAGGUGCUGCAUGGCUGUCGUCAGCUCGUGUCGUGAGAUGUCCGGUUAAGUCCGGCAACGAGCGCAACCCUUGCCGUAUGUUAUAUGUGUCAUACGGGACUGCCGAUAUAAAGUCGGAGGAAGGUGAGGAUGACGUCAAGUCAGCAUGGCCUUUAUAUCUGGGGCUACACACACGCUACAAUGGCCGGUACAAUAGGUUGCAAAGCCGCG
This 1186-nucleotide ribosomal RNA is filed under the name uncultured prokaryote. RNAcentral describes it as "bacterial SSU rRNA". It matches the Rfam family "Bacterial small subunit ribosomal RNA", at positions 42 to 1259 of the family's 1533-position model. The record is from RNAcentral.